Aedes albopictus (Asian tiger mosquito) is the source of this 520-nucleotide long non-coding RNA. RefSeq lists it as uncharacterized. NCBI's taxonomy places the organism in Eukaryota, Metazoa, Arthropoda, Insecta, Diptera, Culicidae. The record is from RefSeq and is a predicted model, not a curated record. The transcript has 2 exons.
UUUAUUUUAGGAAACAAAGAAUUAUUAGAGAAUUGGUUCAUCUUGGUCAAAUGAUGAUCCUCUGGGUCCUUUUCGAUUAAAUAACUCUCACCAAAGAGAAGCGAGAGGCUGCACCAACUGUAGUUUUCAUUACUAUAUACUUUCUGCUGGCCCGGUUCCGUACUCGAUUCAACGUCGCUGCUCCAUGGUCGAAGAAGUUACAAUGCUACGUUAACGAGUCCUCGUCGUCGUCGAUUAUGAAAGAUUUUAGCAGGACGUCAUCUCGCACCCUCAUCCGAAAUUCCGUCAUCCGAGACGUACCUUCAGAUCGAGAUCGCUCGCUGCUAAUCCAGUGAGAAUCGCCCUGCCACCCUGUCACUAUGUUGACCCCCCUGACGACGCCAUCGCCCGAUCUCUCCCGUCACCAACCCCUUAAUCUCCAUCAUCACCGUUCCUGUUUGAUCCCAGCAUUUCCGGCUGACCAAACACUACACAAACACACUCCAGAUAUUUAAAUCAAUAAAUUAGUGAGAAAAAUUAA